AGUGAACGCUGGCGGUAGGCCUAACACAUGCAAGUCGAACGGCAGCACAGUAAGAGCUUGGUCUUACGGGUGGCGAGUGGCGGACGGGUGAGGAAUACAUCGGAAUCUACUUUUUCGUGGGGGAGAACGUAGCGAAACUUACGCCAAUACAGCAGACGACCUACGGUGGAAAGCAUGGGAUCUUCGGACCUUGCGCGAUUGAAUGAGCCGAUGUCGGAUUAGCUAGUUGGCUGGGUAAAGGCCAACCAAGGCGAGGAUCCGUAGCUGGUCUGCGAGGAUGGUAGCCCACACGAGAGGUCGAACACGGUCCAGGGUCCUAAGGGAGGGAGCAGAGGGGGAUAUUGGGCAAUAGGGGCGAGCCUUAUCCAGCCAUACCGCGUGGGUGACGAAGACCUUCGGGUUGUGAAGACCUUUUGUUGGGAAAAAAACGCAGCAGGUUAAGACCCCGCGGUUGUGACGGUACCCAAAGAAUAAGCACCGGCUAACUACGUG
Molecule: ribosomal RNA, 492 nt
Filed under: uncultured bacterium
Lineage: Bacteria
Description: partial 16S ribosomal RNA
Rfam family: Bacterial small subunit ribosomal RNA
Source: RNAcentral